GUGUCAGUUUCGGGUAAAGAGCUCUCGAAAGCGCAAAGUCUCCAAAAAGGUUACAAGGGUUCCAGCGCCUCCCCAAGUCACCGAAGCCUGGGCCGCCCCUGCAGCAGGAAGGGUUCGUACCCGGGGGGGAGGGAACCACCCCAAGCGCGUGUGUUAACGAACCCCAAGCGAGUUUCGGGGCUUGAAAGCGCUACCGGGGCAGCCAGAUUACUACCUCCCACUCUCGCCUCCAUCCCUCCCCGCCCCUUGCCCGUCCCACGGGCCUCGGAUUUGGGCGUAGGGCUGGGUAGGGCGCCUGGGAGGGGCCAGAGGGGGCGGAUCAGGCCGGGAUUUGGCUCCAGGUACCCCCACCCGCCCGCGUCCCGGGGUCGCCAGCUGACUCCAUGUGAGCCCACUUGGCACCGGCCCCCCGAGGGAUCCUGCGACGCGAGGGGUGCCCGUUUGCAGUGAUCCGCGGACUCUCGAACCCUAAACCCCGGGGCCCAGCUCUGCCCCGGCGUGGAUCUUCGGGAAACCGGAGGGGAGGCUCGUGGAGACCUGGGAGGAGCUGCGCUGACUGGGGCAGGGGACGCCCAGAUUGGAUCGGUUCCGAGCUCUCGUCGCCCCCGAGGAGGGCACGACGCGCUGACAAACGUGGCCGUCAACACCUCGAGCUGCCCCGGCGAGUUAUUUCAACAGACUGGGAAAGAGCCGUACUAUUUGAGUGGCAGGCGACGCCUUUCCCCACUCUCGAUGCACGCAAACUGCAGAGCUGAAAUGAACUGAGCUAAGAGCGGAAUUGAAAUACACCAGGGGUUUCCCUGCAGGAAUUGUUCCAACAAGGUAUCCACGGGUUUCAAGAUCCGUUGAAAUGCUUCAGGUGUGGUUUGCAUUCUCACCGACCCUCGGGCCAGUUCCCUCGCCCCCAACCGCCGUUAUUUGUUCCCCCCACCUACUUCAAUAGUUGCGCCUCACCCUUCCUUGGCGACAUUAAAUCAGCACCCCGCACCCCCGCCAGUUUUGCAACUUCUUCUCCUUGCCCUUUAAAAGAGUUACACUUUCUAAGAAGACUUAAAAAAAAAAAAAAGGACAAGAAAUGGAGAUAGGUUUUGUAAGUGUUAAAUAACUUUCUCAGCGUGUAUUAAAGGAAGAUUGUAUUUUAUCAA
Molecule: long non-coding RNA, 1145 nt
Organism: Pan troglodytes (chimpanzee)
Lineage: Eukaryota; Metazoa; Chordata; Mammalia; Primates; Hominidae
Exons: 2
Source: RefSeq, a predicted model, not a curated record